This 366-nucleotide long non-coding RNA is filed under the name Phasianus colchicus (ring-necked pheasant). RNAcentral's name for it is "lncRNA (ENSPCLG00000015686.1)". The record is from RNAcentral. Lineage: Eukaryota; Metazoa; Chordata; Aves; Galliformes; Phasianidae.
CAGAAAAUGUAUGUGUGCCCUGGUUGAGGUCUGCUAGCACUAAAGCUUGAAUGCAAGAAGAAUGCAAGGAUCCCAUAAAGGGCGAGGCAAAGGUGUCCCCUGGAAACAGAGGCCUUGAACAGCUGACCACUGCUGUGAUCUCAUGAAAGAAAACCAGGUUCUCCAGCUAUCCGGGCGCAGGGAUAUUCAGCAAAAUGUCACACAACAGCACCUCAUUCUGACAGAUCCCACUGGCACACCACAGGACCCCUGUCUGCGAUGCUUGCAGGGAUGCUUCCAAGCCUGAAGGUAUGAAAAGGACAGAUGCUGUGAUCCACGCUGUGAUGCUUCUUGAAAAAUUCUCAUGUUUGCAAUUUGCUUCGUGAC